This 434-nucleotide ribosomal RNA is filed under the name uncultured Lachnospiraceae bacterium. RNAcentral's name for it is "partial 16S ribosomal RNA". It matches the Rfam family "Bacterial small subunit ribosomal RNA", at positions 341 to 792 of the family's 1533-position model. The record is from RNAcentral. Lineage: Bacteria; Bacillati; Bacillota; Clostridia; Lachnospirales; Lachnospiraceae.
ACGGAAGGCAGCAGUGGGGAAUAUUGGACAAUGGGGGAAACCCUGAUCCAGCGACGCCGCGUGAGUGAAGAAGUAUUUCGGUAUGUAAAGCUCUAUCAGCAGGGAAGAUGAUGACGGUACCUGACUAAGAAGCCCCGGCUAACUACGUGCCAGCAGCCGCGGUAAUACGUAGGGGGCAAGCGUUAUCCGGAUUUACUGGGUGUAAAGGGAGCGUAGGCGGCCGCGCAAGUCAGGUGUGAAAACCCGGGGCUUAACUCCGGGACUGCACUUGAAACUGUGAGGCUGGAGUACGGGAGAGGCAAGUGGAAUUCCUAGUGUAGCGGUGAAAUGCGUAGAUAUUGGGAGGAACACCAGUGGCGAAGGCGGCUUACUGGACGAUUACUGACGCUGAGGCUCGAAAGCGUGGGGAGCAAACAGGAUUAGAUACCCUGGUA